GCUUGUCUCAAAGAUUAAGCCAUGCAUGUCUCAGUAUAAGUUCCUGUACGGCGAAACUGCGAAUGGCUCAUUAAAACAGUUACAGUUUAUUUGAUGGUCGUUCCUUACAUGGAUAACUGUGGUAAUUCUAGAGCUAAUACAUGCUAACAGCCCCAACUUUACGGACGGGGUGUAUUUAUUAGAUACAAACCAACCGCUUCACGGCGUUUCGGUGAGUCAUGAUAACUUUGCGAAUCGCAUGGCCUCGCGCCGGCGAUGAAUCAUUCAAGUUUCUGCCCUAUCAGCUGUCGAUGGUAGGGUCUUGGCCUACCAUGGCGUUAACGGGUGACGGAGAAUUAGGGUUCGGUUCCGGAGAGGGAGCCUGAGAAAUGGCUACCACAUCCAAGGAAGGCAGCAGG
RNAcentral lists this ribosomal RNA (398 nucleotides) under uncultured fungus. RNAcentral describes it as "partial small subunit ribosomal RNA". It matches the Rfam family "Eukaryotic small subunit ribosomal RNA", at positions 30 to 432 of the family's 1831-position model. The record is from RNAcentral. Lineage: Eukaryota; Fungi.